RNAcentral lists this ribosomal RNA (1047 nucleotides) under Bacteroides thetaiotaomicron. RNAcentral's name for it is "bacterial SSU rRNA". It matches the Rfam family "Bacterial small subunit ribosomal RNA", at positions 228 to 1278 of the family's 1533-position model. Lineage: Bacteria; Pseudomonadati; Bacteroidota; Bacteroidia; Bacteroidales; Bacteroidaceae. The record is from RNAcentral.
GGGAUGCGUUCCAUUAGGCAGUUGGUGAGGUAACGGCUCACCAAACCUUCGAUGGAUAGGGGUUCUGAGAGGAAGGUCCCCCACAUUGGAACUGAGACACGGUCCAAACUCCUACGGGAGGCAGCAGUGAGGAAUAUUGGUCAAUGGACGAGAGUCUGAACCAGCCAAGUAGCGUGAAGGAUGACUGCCCUAUGGGUUGUAAACUUCUUUUAUAUGGGAAUAAAGUUUUCCACGUGUGGAAUUUUGUAUGUACCAUAUGAAUAAGGAUCGGCUAACUCCGUGCCAGCAGCCGCGGUAAUACGGAGGAUCCGAGCGUUAUCCGGAUUUAUUGGGUUUAAAGGGAGCGUAGGUGGAUAGUUAAGUCAGUUGUGAAAGUUUGCGGCUCAACCGUAAAAUUGCAGUUGAUACUGGCUGUCUUGAGUACAGUAGAGGUGGGCGGAAUUCGUGGUGUAGCGGUGAAAUGCUUAGAUAUCACGAAGAACUCCGAUUGCGAAGGCAGCUCACUGGACUGCAACUGACACUGAUGCUCGAAAGUGUGGGUAUCAAACAGGAUUAGAUACCCUGGUAGUCCACACAGUAAACGAUGAAUACUCGCUGUUUGCGAUAUACAGUAAGCGGCCAAGCGAAAGCAUUAAGUAUUCCACCUGGGGAGUACGCCGGCAACGGUGAAACUCAAAGGAAUUGACGGGGGCCCGCACAAGCGGAGGAACAUGUGGUUUAAUUCGAUGAUACGCGAGGAACCUUACCCGGGCUUAAAUUGCAUUUGAAUAAUCUGGAAACAGGUUAGCCGUAAGGCAAAUGUGAAGGUGCUGCAUGGUUGUCGUCAGCUCGUGCCGUGAGGUGUCGGCUUAAGUGCCAUAACGAGCGCAACCCUUAUCUUUAGUUACUAACAGGUUAUGCUGAGGACUCUAGAGAGACUGCCGUCGUAAGAUGUGAGGAAGGUGGGGAUGACGUCAAAUCAGCACGGCCCUUACGUCCGGGGCUACACACGUGUUACAAUGGGGGGUACAGAAGGCAGCUACCUGGUGACAGGAUGCUAAUCCCAAA